GGGUUGUGAGGUUAAGCGACUAAGCGUACACGGUGGAUGCCCUGGCAGUCAGAGGCGAUGAAGGACGUGCUAAUCUGCGAUAAGCGUCGGUAAGGUGAUAUGAACCGUUAUAACCGGCGAUUUCCGAAUGGGGAAACCCAGUGUGAUUCGUCACACUAUCAUUAACUGAAUCCAUAGGUUAAUGAGGCGAACCGGGGGAACUGAAACAUCUAAGUACCCCGAGGAAAAGAAAUCAACCGAGAUUCCCCCAGUAGCGGCGAGCGAACGGGGAGCAGCCCAGAGCCUGAAUCAGUGUGUGUGUUAGUGGAAGCGUCUGGAAAGGCGUGCGAUACAGGGUGACAGCCCCGUACACAAAAAUGCACAUACUGUGAGCUCGAUGAGUAGGGCGGGACACGUGGUAUCCUGUCUGAAUAUGGGGGGACCAUCCUCCAAGGCUAAAUACUCCUGACUGACCGAUAGUGAACCAGUACCGUGAGGGAAAGGCGAAAAGAACCCCGGCGAGGGGAGUGAAAAAGAACCUGAAACCGUGUACGUACAAGCAGUGGGAGCACGCUUAGGCGUGUGACUGCGUACCUUUUGUAUAAUGGGUCAGCGACUUAUAUUCUGUAGCAAGGUUAACCGAAUAGGGGAGCCGAAGGGAAACCGAGUCUUAACUGGGCGUUAAGUUGCAGGGUAUAGACCCGAAACCCGGUGAUCUAGCCAUGGGCAGGUUGAAGGUUGGGUAACACUAACUGGAGGACCGAACCGACUAAUGUUGAAAAAUUAGCGGAUGACUUGUGGCUGGGGGUGAAAGGCCAAUCAAACCGGGAGAUAGCUGGUUCUCCCCGAAAGCUAUUUAGGUAGCGCCUCGUGAAUUCAUCUCCGGGGGUAGAGCACUGUUUCGGCAAGGGGGUCAUCCCGACUUACCAACCCGAUGCAAACUGCGAAUACCGGAGAAUGUUAUCACGGGAGACACACGGCGGGUGCUAACGUCCGUCGUGAAGAGGGAAACAACCCAGACCGCCAGCUAAGGUCCCAAAGUCAUGGUUAAGUGGGAAACGAUGUGGGAAGGCCCAGACAGCCAGGAUGUUGGCUUAGAAGCAGCCAUCAUUUAAAGAAAGCGUAAUAGCUCACUGGUCGAGUCGGCCUGCGCGGAAGAUGUAACGGGGCUAAACCAUGCACCGAAGCUGCGGCAGCGACGCUUAUGCGUUGUUGGGUAGGGGAGCGUUCUGUAAGCCUGUGAAGGUGUACUGUGAGGUAUGCUGGAGGUAUCAGAAGUGCGAAUGCUGACAUAAGUAACGAUAAAGCGGGUGAAAAGCCCGCUCGCCGGAAGACCAAGGGUUCCUGUCCAACGUUAAUCGGGGCAGGGUGAGUCGACCCCUAAGGCGAGGCCGAAAGGCGUAGUCGAUGGGAAACAGGUUAAUAUUCCUGUACUUGGUGUUACUGCGAAGGGGGGACGGAGAAGGCUAUGUUGGCCGGGCGACGGUUGUCCCGGUUUAAGCGUGUAGGCUGGUUUUCCAGGCAAAUCCGGAAAAUCAAGGCCGAGGCGUGAUGACGAGGCACUACGGUGCUGAAGCAACAAAUGCCCUGCUUCCAGGAAAAGCCUCUAAGCAUCAGGUAACAUCAAAUCGUACCCCAAACCGACACAGGUGGUCAGGUAGAGAAUACCAAGGCGCUUGAGAGAACUCGGGUGAAGGAACUAGGCAAAAUGGUGCCGUAACUUCGGGAGAAGGCACGCUGAUACGUAGGUGAAGCGACUUGCUCGUGGAGCUGAAAUCAGUCGAAGAUACCAGCUGGCUGCAACUGUUUAUUAAAAACACAGCACUGUGCAAACACGAAAGUGGACGUAUACGGUGUGACGCCUGCCCGGUGCCGGAAGGUUAAUUGAUGGGGUUAGCGCAAGCGAAGCUCUUGAUCGAAGCCCCGGUAAACGGCGGCCGUAACUAUAACGGUCCUAAGGUAGCGAAAUUCCUUGUCGGGUAAGUUCCGACCUGCACGAAUGGCGUAAUGAUGGCCAGGCUGUCUCCACCCGAGACUCAGUGAAAUUGAACUCGCUGUGAAGAUGCAGUGUACCCGCGGCAAGACGGAAAGACCCCGUGAACCUUUACUAUAGCUUGACACUGAACAUUGAGCCUUGAUGUGUAGGAUAGGUGGGAGGCUUUGAAGUGUGGACGCCAGUCUGCAUGGAGCCGACCUUGAAAUACCACCCUUUAAUGUUUGAUGUUCUAACGUGGACCCGUAAUCCGGGUUGCGGACAGUGUCUGGUGGGUAGUUUGACUGGGGCGGUCUCCUCCUAAAGAGUAACGGAGGAGCACGAAGGUUGGCUAAUCCUGGUCGGACAUCAGGAGGUUAGUGCAAUGGCAUAAGCCAGCUUGACUGCGAGCGUGACGGCGCGAGCAGGUGCGAAAGCAGGUCAUAGUGAUCCGGUGGUUCUGAAUGGAAGGGCCAUCGCUCAACGGAUAAAAGGUACUCCGGGGAUAACAGGCUGAUACCGCCCAAGAGUUCAUAUCGACGGCGGUGUUUGGCACCUCGAUGUCGGCUCAUCACAUCCUGGGGCUGAAGUAGGUCCCAAGGGUAUGGCUGUUCGCCAUUUAAAGUGGUACGCGAGCUGGGUUUAGAACGUCGUGAGACAGUUCGGUCCCUAUCUGCCGUGGGCGCUGGAGAACUGAGGGGGGCUGCUCCUAGUACGAGAGGACCGGAGUGGACGCAUCACUGGUGUUCGGGUUGUCAUGCCAAUGGCACUGCCCGGUAGCUAAAUGCGGAAGAGAUAAGUGCUGAAAGCAUCUAAGCACGAAACUUGCCCCGAGAUGAGUUCUCCCUGACCCUUUAAGGGUCCUGAAGGAACGUUGAAGACGACGACGUUGAUAGGCCGGGUGUGUAAGCGCAGCGAUGCGUUGAGCUAACCGGUACUAAUGAACCGUGAGG
This 2904-nucleotide ribosomal RNA is filed under the name Shigella flexneri. RNAcentral's name for it is "partial 23S ribosomal RNA". It matches the Rfam family "Bacterial large subunit ribosomal RNA". The record is from RNAcentral. Lineage: Bacteria; Pseudomonadati; Pseudomonadota; Gammaproteobacteria; Enterobacterales; Enterobacteriaceae.